Molecule: long non-coding RNA, 6126 nt
Filed under: Panax ginseng (ginseng)
Lineage: Eukaryota; Viridiplantae; Streptophyta; Magnoliopsida; Apiales; Araliaceae
Description: long non-coding RNA (PGIN_LNC001584)
Source: RNAcentral
UACUAAUCCGCGAUUCGUUAGGUCUUAUUAGUUACUUUGGGUUAGAAAAUAUAUCCUUUUUAGGUAUUGUGGUUUCCAAGGUAUUUUAGUUGAACUAUCCAAGAUUGAAGAUGUUAAUUGGGAUAGACCAAAAUCUGUGAAUUAGGUUCAUGGCUUCUUGCACCUGGCGGAGUACUUUCAAAGCUUUUUUUUGAAAGGUUUUCAAAGAUACCAACUUCUUUGACUAAGUUGCCUACAAGAGGAGUUAAGUUUGAGUGGUCUAGAUGUCGGUUUCAGUCGACGCUAGUGCUACGGAUCGAGGAUGGACAUAGUUAUGAUCAAGGUUCUAAUUCCGAGGAUGGAAUUUAUUUUAAGGAGGGGAUGUGUAAAACUGCCACUAUUUUAAAUACCAGGUUAAUUAUGUUAGGAUAACCUUUCCAGAAUAUAUAUAUAUAUAUAUAUAUAUAUAUAUAUAUAUAUAUAUAUAUAUAUAUAAUCAUUCUUAAAAAACUUGAGGUUUAAGUGCAUAAAAAUAAUAUUUUGGACUUUGAGGAAAAUAUAUAAGUUUACAUUAUUAGACCCUAAACGUAAACUGGUGUAUUCUCACUUCUCCAAUGACGACUUCUCCUUCCCUCUCUUGAUAUUUUUCUUCUUCUAUCUUAUACAACUUUUGCAUUUUGUUUGGGUUUCAGAGAUUGAAGAUUUGGAAGGUCCUUGCGCUGUUCAAGAUAUCGUAUCCUGGUAAAUUUUUGUAAUACCCUCUAUGUAUAGGGUAUUAGUUUUGAGAUUGAUGGAAGAACUAAAAUUUAUUAUUGAUGUUGUUAGGAUCUUAUUUGUAUUGAUUUAUCAAGCUUAAGGAGGUUGAAUUUGAUUACUGAAGAACUUUUUCUAAGGUGAGGGAUAAACCAUACUUUUCGGAUUGUUGCCUCCCUUGUUAUUCAUUAUUUUUGGCAUUAUAAAAUUUGUAAUCUCAUUUAUUGACAUUUGUAUACAUGCACAUAACAUGUAUUCAUCGUCUUGUAUUAUGUUUUUGGUUUUGAAAUUCAUUUAGUAUCAAAUUAAAACAUUGUGUUUUCGCACGACUGUACUCUACUUUGAUUUGUGAUAUCUCGUGCGUUACUUACAAUUUUAAUAACCUUGAAUGUUCGCUGAUUUUGCUUUGUUGACUGCUGAAAAUGUCAUUUACUGUGUUGCUGUGUAAAUCUUGUUGUGACACUGACAAAACUUCGACUUUUAUUUUUUUUUCAUUUGUUAUCCAAAAAUUUCAAGCCUUGCCAUUUUAGAAAGAUUAUGAAAUCCUCUACAUCAUCAAGUUUAAGUUUUUUCUAAAUCUUUCAUCUUGAUAGACUAAACAACUUGUUAAGUCAGUAAAGUAGAUCUGUCUCAAAGCUAAUGAAACUGAAAACUUGUUUAAUGCUCACCUUUUUCAUUCUUUGAACAAGAUUUGUGAUUGUUUUGGAGCCUUUGGGGUUCCCUUUGAUUCAGAAUUGUUGGAUUUAUUACUUUUUUUUUUUGAAAUUGAGAAAAAGUGCACAUACUUUAAUUUAUAAAUUUUUUGGUUUUGGACCUGGAAGGUGAUUGGAACUAGUCAUCUACUUGUAUGGUAUAAUCAUUAAGUUAUGAACACCUUACUUUGUAUUUACUUGUAAGGGGUCUUAAAUAGACUAUAAUAGCUAUUGUUCCAUUUUGAUAUUUGAGGCAACACCUCAUCUUUAUAGGCCAGUGUUGUAGACUUGUUAGCAUUUGGCCAGUGCUUCUGUUUUGUUUGGCAUGUACUCUGUAGCUGUGUCAGUUCGGAUACAUUUGGCUUAUUAAUCUACCCAUGUAAAUUGUAAUUUUCAUUAUUUUUGUAUUGUUAUUAUUGUAUCAUCAACAGCAUUUACUUGCAAAUUGAUAUUUGUUUAGCUUAAUGCUAAUUAGUCCAUUUACUCUUUGGAGUCUCAGUUCUCUGUGACCUAAACUUGCGGUCACACCUCAUUCAGUGGUGUGGUGGGUUUGGAGCCCAACAUAGUGACUGUGUUGUGUGACUGCUGGACUGCUACUAAGCCUUAUUUUGGACUUUACACCCUAUAUUUUCCAAACCUAACUACAAUCAAUUUAUCCAAAAAUAGCAAUACAAAAUAAAUUUCUAAUAUGCACUUGGAAAUUACAUUAGUUUUCUUUUCCUUUUCCGCAUCACUGACUCCCUUCGAGACCUAUAAGAACUUCCUGUUGAGCUCGCUAUAAUCCUCUUCGUACAAUAGAAACAAAAGAUCUUCAUACCAGUAAUUAGUAAGAGAAAAGAUCAUCCCAUAGAGCUCCCUUAUGCACAAUGUAGCCACCAUUUUGAAUCUUCAAUAGAAAGGCGGAAUGAUGAACCUGCGGCUACUAUAAAGACGUCACUUCUGAGUCCUCAAUGCUGCUAAAGAGGCCAAUCUUAUUAAGAGUUACAACUGUACAUCUACCUCUUCCAGCUCUUAGUCCUUAAAAUGCUGAUGAAACAUUGGCUGGCACGAUAGAGUACCAUUUGUAAUCACCACGUAAGCCUCAAUCUUGUUUCUAGGUUCACAACAUAAAUUUUGGAAUCUCUCAUAUUAAGUUGAGUAACCUCCCUAGACCAAAUGUCUUUCCUAAAGGUGAUUUACUGACUAUUUCCUACUUCAAAAGCAACAUACCUAGCAAAGUGCCCCUAAAACCCAACAGUGGACUUUCCCAAGCGAACCUCAAGGGGUCUUUCUCGACCCUAAUGUGAUCCAUCUACAUGAACCCCUCCCAAUUAUAAGACGUCAACCCUCUUCCACAACUUAUCCUCCUCUACGACAAAAUGCCAAGGAUUUUUCCCUGGUUGAGAUUGACUAAACACGUCAAAAACUUGAACAACCAAACUCCCAUACUCUUGCGGGGAACAAAUUUUUUCCUAAACCAGUUGGUACUUGGCCCACUUGUCAUUCCUUGACUGCAAGAAAUUACGAACCAACUUCUUCAAUUUUUUUCUGGAACAAAGUCAGCAGCUUCAACAAAAAACUAUAGCAAGUGGGUGGGCUUGUCAAAGUACUUUUAGUAAGGUCUACCUCCCCCUUUUGACAAGUAAUGCUUCUUCCACAAGUGUUUUUUUUGCUCAAGUCUCUCAAACACAUGAUCCCAAUUGACUUUCGGCUUAUGCUUAGUCCCUAGAUGAAGUCCAAGAUAGUCUUCGCCUAUUUACAUGGACCUCCAACCCCUAGAAGGAUCCUCAAAAGGUCACAACAUAGACACACCUAAAUUUAGAACAUUUUGGUUCCUUUUUCACAAAAUUGCCGUGUCCGACACCCGCAUCUGUACCCGUGGGUACUUCAGGAUUUGAGAAGAGUCCAUGUAACAUAGGUCUUCGCAAGUAUACACAUAGCAACCAAGAAUGCAAGUUAAAGGCUCCACAUCUCAAAAAGAAUGAAUGAACCUUUAAAAUAGUAAAACACAUCUUAGGACUGCACUGCAAUUGGCAAGGGCACACAUCACAAAAAAAAUUAUGGUAUCGUCAGCAACAACUAGCGAGAGAUGGUGCUACUAGGCUAACCAAGCCUAAACCCCUAAAUCAACCCAACUGUCAAAAUUCUCCCCAAUAAGCGACUAAACACCUCCAUAGUGUUCAAAAAAGCGGUAGGCAUACCUAGGCAACGGAGGGAGCUUCAACCGUUAUUUUUACGAACGUUUUUCACUUUAUAUUUGUGUACCAGUACAACUGUCUUCCCCCAUUAAGUACAUGUUUAAAAUUUGGAUAUAGCGGAUUCCGAAGAGAAGUGAAUUGGGACUUCAUCGGUUCAUACCCAUUAUAGGUCUUUCAGCUUGUUGGUUGACUGAAACGUUUUAUUCGAUUUGCAGUUGCACCAAUUUUAUAUAUGAGAUCUCUUUCUUUUUUAGAAUUGUUUUUAUCUUUUUUUUUUUAAUAAUGUAAAUGGAUCAAAAUUUAGUUGCACAAAAUAUUACAAACUUGUUUCCAAGGAUUCUGUUUCUGCUACUUGGUAUACUUUAGCACCUGUUAGAUUCUUCCUCCAGUUGUACUUGUUUCUUUAUCUUAAUAGUAAUAUAACAUGAACAUCUUUAUGAUAGUCAAAAUAUAGUCCUGGGGUGCCCCUUAGCCAUUGUAAUAUGUUACUUUCUUAAUACACUUUAAAUUUAGAAAAAAAAUAAAAAUAAAUUUAGUUAUUUAAGAAUUCUUGACAUUUUAUUUUGGUUAUAUUGGAAUCACAAAUCCUUAGAAAGUUUAAGUCCUGCAUUUCUUAUGUUUCCUAAGCUCUUAUUUUUGGUCCAACUACUCCUUUCGGAAGAUUGUCGUUUUAGGAGAAAAAAUGUGUUUCAAAAAGUUUGUCAUUUACAACUUUCGAGGAGAAUAAAUUAUUUAUUUUCCUAUAUUACUCCUACCUUCUCUCAUUGUCCUAAGAAAUUCUCUCCCUGUAUUAAUAGUUUUCAAUUUCUCAUAAAGGGGUAGUGAUGGAAUUUCAAACAAAUUUAUUUUGGUAAAUGACACUUUCUUAAUCCAUGUGCUAAAACCUUAAACGACAAUUUUUUAGGAACGGAGGGAGUAUUAAACUAGGGAACUUUUGUUUUUUGCUCAAAUCUCAAAUAGUUGCUAGAGUACUACAGAUAUAAAAGUGGUUUUCCUGCUUUCCUUUAUUUUGUGAUGUGAUGCUUUGUGUCAAGUGUAGAUGCUUGUUAAUGACUAUUGUUGAUUGAAAUGCUCAUUAUUCUUAAAAAUGUUUUCAGUAUAAUUACCUUUUUUUCUGGUGUUCUGGUUUCAAUAAAAGGUGUAAUUUUGUCAAGUCACUUCGUGAUAGACUCUAAACUUUCUCACUAUAUUUAUGCGUCAGUUACUUUCUCAAGCAUCCUUUUCUAAGAAAGAGACGAAUAAUGAAACUAAUGCUCUGGUUCUUGAAUCUUGAUACAACUUCAUAGAAUUAUUGGUCAACACUUGAAUCAUUAGGUGUUGACCAGAUUGUUAAACACUUGAUGCAGAUUGGGCUACUAUUUAUAAGCAAGGCUAGUUAAAUCAUUAAUUUGGCUAUGAUAAGUUAUGUUCGAGGGUGCUUCUUUUGCAGACAUAAUUACCUAUUUCCUCAAGAGUUGAAAGAUCAUGAUCUCCUUCCUUCGCCAACUUUUGGGAAAUUGAUCACCACAAUGUAAAUCUGUAAGUUAUUUUUACGUUACCACCCGCAAUGCUUCAUUUUGGAGGCUAAUUUGGUACGUUAAAAUAUGUAUAAUUACUACUAGAGAUGUAAAUGAACUUAGUUGUUCGCGAACAAAGCUUGGCUAGACUCGACUCGAGUUCGAACAAGGAAUCAUGUUCUCUUAAUUAAAUGAGCCGAGCUUGAGUUUAGACUAGUUUAAACUUGAGUCGUCUAAGCUCAGUUCGAGCUCGCUUAAGCUUAGCUAAUUUAUUAUUUAAUUAAUUAUUAAAUAACUAUUUUUACACACACAUGUAUAUAAGAAUAAUUAAUUUAAUAAUUAUUUAAAUUUGCUUUAGCUCAACUAAAGCUUGGCUUGACUUGAGCAGGCCCGAUUUGAGCUCGAGUUGAAUUCGAACAAUAUAUUGAGGUUCAUUUAAAGCUCAUCUCGACUUGAGCUUGUUUAACUUUUAGUUGAGCUCGGUAAGCCAAAGCUUGAGUCGGCUUGACUUGUUUACAAUCCUAAUUACUACACUGAAGUUCAUUUUCACCCUAAUAUUGUUUUCAACUUAUUAAUGCGGACAAUCAUUUUCCUUCACAGUUUAUUUCUUUCACUUCUAUAACGAUUGAAUUGCUUCGACACCAAACUGCUUUGUUUUCAUGCCUGCUGUGAUUCUGAAUUCGCUGCUAGGUGAGAAUACUCUUCUUUAGGAGAUUAGGCUGUUUGUAUUCUUAGUCUGUUAGUGUGGGAUAAGGUGCUAUUUUGAAGCUGAGGAUGAAUAUCCAUAAAUUUAGCAGUUGUAGCUGGACAGUUUGUGGGUUUAACUGCUCAGAGUCCUCAUUCUUUUUAGAUACUGAAUAUGUCGAUAUGCCAAUCGGCUUGUGUAACAUUGGAAGUUAUUAUUAUUAUUUUUGGUUAACACCACCAGUGUAACAUUGUAAGAGUAUUGGAUUUGUAUAGUAUGAUUCUCUUUGUAAUUAUGCUUCACUUUAUCUCAUAAUACAUGUCGAGGAUGAGUCUUAAUUUUUC